Molecule: non-coding RNA, 32 nt
Filed under: Alexandrium minutum
Lineage: Eukaryota; Dinophyceae; Gonyaulacales; Pyrocystaceae
Source: RNAcentral
GGGUGCCCGCUCCUCGCAGGGAGGCGCGCGCU